Molecule: unclassified non-coding RNA, 323 nt
Filed under: soil metagenome
Description: partial contains 5.8S ribosomal RNA, internal transcribed spacer 2, and large subunit ribosomal RNA
Rfam family: 5.8S ribosomal RNA (bases 1-120)
Source: RNAcentral
GAUGAAGAACGCAGCGAAAUGCGACAAGUAAUGUGAAUUGCAGAAUUCCGUGAAUCAUCGAAUCUUUGAACGCACAUUGCGCCCUGUGGUAUUCCGCAGGGCAUGCCUGUUCGAGCGUCAUUUCAACCCUCAAGCUCUGCUUGGUGUUGGGCCCUGCCCGCUGCGGCCGGCCCUAAAGACAGUGGCGGUGCCGCCUGGCCCUGAGCGUAGUACAUCUCUCGCUCCAGUGCCCGGUGGUAGCCUGCCAGAACCCCAACUCUCGUGGUUGACCUCGGAUCAGGUAGGGAUACCCGCUGAACUUAAGCAUAUCAAUAAGCGGAGGA